Non-coding RNA from Rattus norvegicus (Norway rat), 1333 nucleotides. The record is from RefSeq and is a predicted model, not a curated record. NCBI's taxonomy places the organism in Eukaryota, Metazoa, Chordata, Mammalia, Rodentia, Muridae.
AAAUACUAUAUUCAUUCACCUAAAGGUCUGUAAGGAAUAUUCUGGCCUUUACAAAACAAAGAAAACCUAGAAAAUUGAACUGUAUAUCACAGGAAUGGACCUGGAAACAAAAAUUUUAUCCAGAAGAAUUUCCUUUUCUCCAAGUUCCUAGAUCAUUUUCUACCCAUGCCAGAAAUUUGACUAACUUUCUCCAUUAAGAGCAUGUAACCACUAUUGAAGCAAAGAGAUGUCUCUAGUUUUAGAGAGAUGGAGUACAUAAAGUUUCCCCAUGUGUCACAGGAGACAUACCUGGAAAAUUCACUCUCGAAACUGGUCAAUGUAUGGAAGCUGUUUUGAGGAAGACCAUUGCAGUUCUCAGUGACAUCAUCAUUAGGCCCUCCAUGAAAAAAUCUUUUGUAACCUGGAGAGCCCUAGCUUCUCUUGUGAUGUCACAAGUGUUGCCAUGUCUGCAAAUGCCUCUUGGAUAUUCCUUCAGUACUAUAGGGUUUAAUAAUUGGCCUGUAGUUCAGAGGAAACAUCAAUUUGGGAGUGAGAACAAAGAAUAUGAAAACCUCAGAGAUGUGGAGAAGGAAGAUGGCCUCUGUCUUGGUAUGAAAAAAAGGAAAAAUAUGUCUACCCUGGGAAGACUCACUGCGUCCUUGGUAGGAGUUGAGUAGUUGUUGAAUUAGGGUAUGGACUGAAGAAGCCGAAGAGGAGGGCAGCCUCUAUAGGAAGACCACCAGUCUCGAAUCAUCCCCACGCCUGAGAUCUCCCAGACACUUGACCACCAAUCAGGAUCUGCUGGGAAGCCAUCAUCCCAACCUUCCACCAUCAAUGAGGAAGUACAACAGAUUAAGAAGAUGGAGAAAUUGACUAAUGAGCUCCAGAAGAUGACCUAGGCAGGACAUGAAGAAUGGAUACGAGUUUGAUAAGAUACUAUUUAAUUUCUCAGAAAAGCAGAAGCUGUGUUUUGAAUAGCAGUCUUGGGAUAUGGCAAGUAAUGUGUGAGCUCUCAUCAUGGAUUUCAAUAGACAGAGAAUGCAUUUCUGUCCUCAGAGGAACACAGAAAGCUGUUUCUUCACUGAUAUGAACCUUGUGAGAAUGGAGGGAGGCAAGGAAAUCCACAGACAACAACUUUCUACAUUCCAGAAGAUCAAGGUCUUCUCAUAAAAAAAAAAAUCCUUACAUAUCUACAACCACCCUUGCUUGGAGAAAGGAGUUAACUGUUAUGCCUACUUUGAAUGAAGAGGAAGAUAUAAGGCUACACUCCUCAGAGAAACAAGAUAUCAGGUAGUGUAGGAAGAAAUACACAACUAGGUAAUAAUAAAUGUUCCAAGCUAUCCUGUGCAGUAAA